GACUUUGACAACCUAAUGUUUAAUUCCAAAGACUUCGUUGGUGCAUACAAGUGGCGCUGCUUUAGUCCUGGAACAGUUGUCUACAUGCAAUCAAAUGAAAAUAAUAUUAACAGAAACCUAUUUAUCAGCUAGCCAUUUCUACCUAUGGUCUUGCCAUCAACAUAUGGGUGCACGUGAAGGGAAACUUAUUUUUGCUUCUAUUAAAUUGUGAAUAUGCACACUUUGGACCAAAAUAAAAAU
This 240-nucleotide long non-coding RNA is filed under the name Brassica napus (rape). RNAcentral's name for it is "long non-coding RNA (BNAP_LNC020889)". Lineage: Eukaryota; Viridiplantae; Streptophyta; Magnoliopsida; Brassicales; Brassicaceae. The record is from RNAcentral.